UACAGAGGUCCCAAGCGUUGUUCGGAUUCACUGGGCGUAAAGGGUGCGUAGGUGGUCGGGUAAGUCCGAUGUGAAAUCUCCAGGCUCAACCUGGAAAUGGCAUUGGAUACUAUUCGGCUUGAGGAGUGGAGGGGGGACUGGAAUUCUCGGUGUAGCAGUGAAAUGCGUAGAUAUCGAGAGGAACACCUGCGGCGAAGGCGGGUUGCUGGGCUGACACUGACGCUGAUGCGCGAAAGCUAGGGGAGCGAACGGG
This 253-nucleotide ribosomal RNA is filed under the name uncultured bacterium. Its description in RNAcentral is "partial 16S ribosomal RNA". It matches the Rfam family "Bacterial small subunit ribosomal RNA", at positions 524 to 776 of the family's 1533-position model. The record is from RNAcentral.